AGAGUUUGAUCCUGGCUCAGAACAAACGCUGGCGGCGUGUCUUAAGCAUGCAAGUCGAGCGGCAAGGGCAGCAAUGCCCCUAGAGCGGCGGACUGGCGAGUAACGCGUGGGUGAUCUACCUUUGGCAUGGGGAUAGCCAUUAGAAAUAGUGGGUAAUACCGAAUACGUUCGGCACCGUGAGGGUGCUGAGGAAAGGUGCUACGGCACCGGCCGGAGAUGAGCCUGCGUCCGAUUAGCUAGCUGGUGAGGUAAAGGCCCACCAAGGCUAUGGUCGGUAGGCGGCCUGAGAGGGUGUACGCCCACAUUGGGACUGAGAUACGGCCCAAACUCCUACGGGAGGCAGCAGCUAAGAAUAUUCCGCAAUGGACGAAAGUCUGACGGAGCGACGCCGCGUGGAUGAUGAAGGCCGAAAGGUUGUAAAGUCCUUUUGCUGGGGAAGAAUAAGUCUGGGAGGGAGGGAAUGCCCGGAUGAUGACAUGAACCGGCGAAUAAGCCCCGGCUAACUACGUGCCAGCCGCCGCGGU
This 524-nucleotide ribosomal RNA is filed under the name uncultured bacterium. RNAcentral's name for it is "bacterial SSU rRNA". It matches the Rfam family "Bacterial small subunit ribosomal RNA", at positions 8 to 521 of the family's 1533-position model. The record is from RNAcentral.